Molecule: unclassified non-coding RNA, 429 nt
Filed under: Mikania laevigata
Lineage: Eukaryota; Viridiplantae; Streptophyta; Magnoliopsida; Asterales; Asteraceae
Description: partial external transcribed spacer
Source: RNAcentral
CGUAAAGGUGCAUGAGUGGUGUUUGUUAUGUUGCUGGUGGUUGGCUCUUUGCUUGUGCAACAACUUCCACCUGACAUACCUUUUCAUUUGACUGUUAAGGCUUGUAUUGCCAAAACAGUUUGUGGGUUUCUUGUGUUGCCUACCUAUCAUAAGGUACUUUUGUCGGCUGGUAUAAGUUUGUUUUGUCUUGUCUUGUUCUAUAUGAGAUCAGAUGAACCAUAAAGGCAUCUCUUUGAACCACACAUCUAGUGCUUGUGUGAUGUUGUGGUGCAUUGAUGUUUGCUUGGUAUCUUUGAUAUGGAAAUUGAUGUGGGCAUGGGUUUCAUGAGUUCCUUUUAUGUCCUGGUUUAGUGUUUACGCUUCUCUUAAACGACUGUUCAACUCGCAUUGGCUCGUACCAGUGUGUUGGGUUCUGUCGAAGAGGAAAGU